Molecule: ribosomal RNA, 1242 nt
Filed under: metagenome
Description: bacterial LSU rRNA
Rfam family: Bacterial large subunit ribosomal RNA
Source: RNAcentral
UGAGUACGAGAUGCUACGGCAUCGAAGCAGUCUAUGUCAUACUUCCAAGAAAAGCUUGCACUGUCAUAAACAAAGAAUGCCUGUACCAUAACCGACACAGGUGGGUAGGUAGAGUAUACUAAGGGGCGCGAGAUAACUCUCUCUAAGGAACUCGGCAAAAUGACUCCGUAACUUCGGGAGAAGGAGUGCCUUAUUUCUAAGGUUGCAAUAACAAGAUCCAAGCAACUGUUUACCAAAAACACAGGUCUCCGCUAAGUCGUAAGACGAUGUAUGGGGGCUGACGCCUGCCCAGUGCCAGAAGGUUAAAGAAGUUGGUUAGCAUUAGCGAAGCUGAUAACUGAAGCCCUGGUGAACGGCGGCCGUAACAAUAACGGUCCUAAGGUAGCGAAAUUCCUUGUCGGGUAAGUUCCGACCCGCACGAAAGGCGUAAUGAUUUGGAUACUGUCUCGGAGAGGGGCUCGGUGAAAUAGACUUGUCUGUGAAGAUGCGGACUACCUGCACCUGGACAGAAAGACCCUAUGAAGCUUUACUGUAACUUGAGAUUGAAAUUGGACUUUAUUUGCGCAGUAUAGGUGGGAGGCGUUGAGAAUAAUCUUGCGGGAUUGUUGGAGCCAUCAGUGAGAUACCACUCUUGUAAUGUUAGAUUUCUAACUUUGUAUCAUUAUCUGGUCAAAGAACAGUUUCAGGCGGGCAGUUUGACUGGGGCGGUCGCCUCCCAAAGGGUAACGGAGGCGCACAAAGGUUUCCUCUGAACGGGUAGAAAUCGUAUCUAGAGUGUAAAGGCAUAAGGAAGCUUGACUGUGAGACCUACAAGUCGAGCAGGGACGAAAGUCGGUCUUAGUGAUCUGACGGUGCUGAGUGGAAAGGCCGUCACUCAACGGAUAAAAGUUACUCUAAGGAUAACAGGCUGAUCUCCCCCAAGAGUUCACAUCGACGGGGAGGUUUGGCACCUCGAUGUCGGCUCAUCGCAUCCUGGGGCGGUAGUCCGUCCCAAGGGUUGGGCUGUUCGCCCAUGAAAGCGGUACGCGAGCUGGGUUCAGAACGUCGUGAGACAGUUCGGUCCAUAUCCGGUGUAGGCGUUAGAAUAUUGAGAGGAGCCUUCUCUAGUACGAGAGGACCGAGAAGGACAUACCUCUGGUGUACCAGUUAUCGUGCCAACGGUAAACGCUGGGUAGCUAUGUAUGGAGUGGAUAACCGCUGAAAGCAUCUAAGUGGGAAGCCCACCUCAAGAUAAGUAUUCAC